UACGUAGGUGGCAAGCGUUGUCCGGAAUUAUUGGGCGUAAAGCGCGCGCAGGCGGUCGUUCAAGUCGGGUGUGAAAGCCCCCGGCUCAACUGGGGAGGGUCACGCGAUACUGAUCGACUCGAAGGCAGGAGAGGGUAGUGGAAUUCCCGGUGUAGUGGUGAAAUGCGUAGAUAUCGGGAGGAACACCAGUGGCGAAGGCGACUACCUGGCCUGUUCUUGACGCUGAGGCGCGAAAGCUAGGGGAGCAAACGGG
This 253-nucleotide ribosomal RNA is filed under the name uncultured bacterium. Its description in RNAcentral is "partial 16S ribosomal RNA". It matches the Rfam family "Bacterial small subunit ribosomal RNA", at positions 524 to 776 of the family's 1533-position model. The record is from RNAcentral.